CAGCCCCACCGACGCUUCUCCGAGGCCGCCGUCAGGUGCUCAUUUCUUACUACUCGCGAAACCACGAGAAGAGCAGCGCCGCGUCGCAGAGCAAUGGCAUACCGCAGGACUCGGUCACCAGUCCGAGAUUGUAGGCAUGCAUUGUGUAAAUAUAUAAGCAUUUAUGAAAGAUCGAAAAGGCUGUGACAGUAUCUGGCGCAUAGUUUUAAAUCUCCCGCUAUAGCCUUUUGAGGCAGAGGGCCGCUAUUUGUGUUCUUGUACAAUUUAGCCGCUAUAUCCCGCUAUAGCCCGAUUUAGCUCCGCUAUUAGCUGUUUUAGACAUAAACCGCUAAACAACUUAGCCCGCUAUUUAAAACAUUGAUCUGGCGAGUGUGUGUUUCAGAAGUAAUGGCUUUGCUCAGUUGCUGAAUUUCCGUGUUGCUAUCUAGGCAUCCCGCUUUCCAUCUACAGGUUGCAGGGUUGUGAUUGCCGCGGUGCUCCUUGCAUAAAUAAAAUUUUCCUACUAUUCUACACAGGGGUGGAGCCACCCAUAUGGCAAGGUAUGGCGCUUGCCAUAUCUCAAUUUCUCAGUGGCUCUCUCUUAAAUUACUUCCUGCCAUUAGCGCUUCUUGUAGAUUGAGUUUUCACUCUAAACUGCUGCUCUGAAUACUCUGAAUAAGGCUCGUUGAAGGCUGAAUGCUUCUAUCUGAACAUCUGUUCUGAACGAUGAAGAUUACAUCUUCGACACAAACAUAUAUGAUUGGGAGUUCUAUCAAGUAGAUGGGCUAAAGGGGGCUUGAGAUUGUCUUAUCCGGUGUCACUGCCAUAGAAGUAGACAAUGAAACAGUUGAUGACGAGGACCCUGGAGAUGUAGUGCUGAAUCCGAAGGACAUUGAAAUGCUUGAGCAAUUCCAUUUAGGCAGAGACAAUGAAGAUGACAUAGAACCUUGAGAUAAUGUUGCCCAUUUAGACAAUAUUGACAGUGAUGACGAGUCCUAUGACCCCAGCAAUGAAGAUAUUCCUAAAGCAU
RNAcentral lists this long non-coding RNA (1009 nucleotides) under Sorghum bicolor (sorghum). Its description in RNAcentral is "long non-coding RNA (SBIC_LNC011164)". The record is from RNAcentral. Lineage: Eukaryota; Viridiplantae; Streptophyta; Magnoliopsida; Poales; Poaceae.